CAGUCGCCGCGGGAAUACGAAGGGGGCUAGCGUUGCUCGGAAUGACUGGGCGUAAAGGGCGCGUAGGCGGUUCGUACAGUUGGAUGUGAAAUCCCCGGGCUCAACCUGGGAAUGGCAGUGGAUACUGGCAAGCUAGAGUGUGUCAGAGGAUGGUGGAAUUCCCGCUGUAGCGGUGAAAUGCGUAGAGAUCGGGAGGAACAUCAGUGGCGAAGGCGGCCAUCUGGGACAACACUGACGCUGAGGUACGAAAGCGUGGGGAGCAAACAGGAUUAGAUACCCCUGUAGUCCCUGUCUCUUAUAC
This 301-nucleotide ribosomal RNA is filed under the name uncultured bacterium. Its description in RNAcentral is "partial 16S ribosomal RNA". It matches the Rfam family "Bacterial small subunit ribosomal RNA", at positions 509 to 807 of the family's 1533-position model. The record is from RNAcentral.